ACCAGCCACUGCUCAGGACAGGAUGCUGAAAGUGAUGCUGGGCGGCCAGCCAGACUCUGGAUCCCUAGGGCUCUGCCAGAGGUAGUGGAGGUCAAGGUCUGCCUCAUCUGAGACCCUUCUCACCGGCCGGGAAUGACCCCGUACCUACUCUCUGGCCUCCUCUGGGGGCCUUGCUCUUGGCGCUGGAUCCCUGUGCUCUGUCCCCUGACCUUGGAGGAAUUGCCCUCCUGCGUGUAUGGAAUGACCACAGGCCUCCCUCUCACUCUUGCUGCCCUCCGCUCCUCAC
RNAcentral lists this long non-coding RNA (286 nucleotides) under Homo sapiens (human). Its description in RNAcentral is "HSALNT0236149". Lineage: Eukaryota; Metazoa; Chordata; Mammalia; Primates; Hominidae. The record is from RNAcentral.